Non-coding RNA from Blastosporella zonata, 80 nucleotides. The record is from the annotation of a GenBank genome assembly. NCBI's taxonomy places the organism in Eukaryota, Fungi, Basidiomycota, Agaricomycetes, Agaricales, Lyophyllaceae.
UCGGGUAUGGUGUAACGGCUAACAUUGCCGCCUCUCAUUCCAGCGCGCGGCAGCUCGGGGUUCGAUUCCCCGUACCCGAA